CGAAGUCAAUGGAGAAACAGCCAAAGCUCGAGUUACUUCCAGGAGAGGCAAAGGAGAGGCAAGGACGCGGGACCCAGCACAGAGCUCACUGCACAAACGGCGCCGUGGGAGAGGGGCCUCUAGAGGGAUGGGGACGCCAGGGUCUCCUGCAGCCCAGGAGCGCCGGUAUUCCAAGGGCCGACUUUUCUGAGCCCAGCCUCCCCUUGCCCUAAGGAGACCGGCUGGAAGCGGCGCUGGCAGGCCAGGGGGCAAGGAUGGGAUGACCCCAAUUGAAGGGACAAGGCCAGCCAGGUCCCCAAAGUCCGCAACCCUAGUCCAGGCUGGAAAUCCGGGGCGUGGGUGCCCUGCAGGCGUGCUCUCCACUUCACCUGUGCAGCUCCGGUGGAGGCAGCCGCAGGAGGAUGGCAGCCGAGACAAGGAGGCAGCAGACCCUCCUCCGCUGCGGUGACCUCGCUCAGCGGGGGGUGCAUGUCAUUCGGCCAAGGAGAGGUCAAAGGCCAAGGCAGACAAGGCUAGAGGCUAGACUGGGCCUCCUACAUUUUCCACAACGCUGUGUGUGUGUGUGUGUGUGUGUGUGUGUGUGUUUCGGGGACAGUGAGUGGGACAAGGGAAAAGUAGAUGAGAAGGAGCAGGGCUUUGCAGCAGGGUGUGGAAAGAGCACUGCGCAGUGAGUCUGGAGACCCCUAUUCCAGACUCGGCUCUGCCUCUCAUUACUGUCUGACCUUGGACACAGCCCCUAGCUUGCUGGGGUAGCAGAUCUCUGGGGUUGAAAUGGGGCUCUGCCUGCUCCCCAGUUUAUAGAGUGGCAUUAGAUGCCCAGUAAAUCGUGGCAUUAGAAUAAGAGAGUGUGGUGGGGGGGAGGGGCACAUGGUUUCCAAAGGCAGAGGACUGGUGGUGGCAGGGGUGACCUUGACAACUAGUGGUGGGUAUAAAGCUGCCUGCAGGCCGGGCGCGGUGGCUGACACCUGUAAUCCCAGCACUUUUCGAGGCCGAGGCGGGCGGAUCACUUGAGGUGAGGAGUUUGAGAUCCACCUGGCCAAAAUGAUGAAACCCUGUCUGUACUAAAUAUACAAAAAUUAUCCGGGCGUCGUGGUGGGCGCCUGUAAUCCCAGCUACUUGGGAGGCUGAGGCACGAGAAUUGCUUGAACCCAGGAGGCGGAGGUUGCAGUGAGCUGAGAGCGUGCCACUGCACUGCAGCCUGGUGACAAAGUGAGACUCCGUCUCAAUAAAUAAAUAAAUUAAUUAAAAAAAAAACAGCCUGCAGUACACCGGAACCAGGGCUGGGGACAGGCAGUAAGAAGUGCAGCCCAGGGGUCUGCUUCCUCUGUUUCCCCACAGAAGCUCACCUUUCUGUUGCUUAAUAGAGCUGCCGGGAUGGGGCAGGACUCCCGUUCCCCCUCCUUCACUCUACCACCCAAGCGGUCCCCAAGGUGAAUGCCACAUUCUUUAGUGAGCUUAGCCCUGCUGAUGUGCGGUGGUGCCUUUUCUAGGGCCCCUGUGCCUGUCAGCCAAGUCUACCCUGACUAUGCAGGGAAUGGCUUUCUUCUCUUGCCCGUUGGCGUUGGCGGCAGGCAGGGGCCUAGAUGUUGGCUUCUUCACUUUCCCUCCCUGGCUCCACAGAUCUCCCCCAGUUGCAGGCUCUCUGGUUCCUUGAACUUCCAAAGAUAAAUAAAUAGUGAUUGCAAAUGGAGGAAGGGAGAAGGGGAAUGGACUCCCCCAGCAGGAGCCCUCACAGGCGGUGGCCCAGGCUGCAUUCCUCAGGAAAGAGCUGACAGCAGAGCCACAGCCCAUAGGCAGGGCUGUGCAGCCCUCCUGCUCACAGGCAAGGAAGACUCUGAGAUCUCUGGCCUGGGUCAUAUAGCUUUUCUGUGAUUUCCUUUGGCUAAAUGAAGACACUCAAAGUCUAAAGAAGAAUUCUACUGGAACACCCACUCCUGGAGGCUGAACAGAGGCCAAAGGACAUUUAAUGAGGCGAGGCUUCCCCACCACUAGGAAUGAAAUGUCUGAUGGAGACAUCUACAAAACACUGGACUGUCCUGAGGGUCACCACAUUUGACUUCUUACCCACCCAGGGAGGUGAUGAAGUGGAGGUUACUUUCUUAUUUUGCAAGUAUGGAUGAAGAAACUGAGUCACUGAGACUAGAGUCCAAGGGUAGGAACUUACUUUCUGAUUCCUUUUUUUGUGUAUGUGUGAGACAAGGUCUCUCUCUGUCACCCAGGCUGGAGUGCAGUGGCAGGAACACGGCAGCCUCGAUCUCCUGGGUUCAAUCCUCCCACCUCCGCCUCCCAAGUAGCUGGAACUACAGAUUUUAACAAUCAGACUCAGGUCAACAGUGGUUGAGAUAAUGGCCCAUAAUUGGCUCCAGAAUGCAAACGUGGCAUUUCUCCAGGAUUCCAUUAGCUCAGAAUGACAAGAUGAGGACUACUUCCUGCACGAUGACCACAGCGGCUAAGAGGCUGAGGCAGGAGAACCGCUUGAACCCAGAAGGUGGAGACUGUGGUGAGCGGAGAUUGUGCUGUUGCAUUCCAGCCUGGGCGGCAGAGCAAAAGUCUGCCUCAAAUAAAUACAUAAAUAAAUGUCCUCUGUGCUGUCUCUGUGGAGGAUCAAGAGUGGUGGGACCAGUGGGGGAACAGGAGACAGUGAGGAGGCCAGGCCCACAGGCCAGUGG
This 2669-nucleotide long non-coding RNA is filed under the name Homo sapiens (human). RNAcentral's name for it is "HSALNT0135547". The record is from RNAcentral. Lineage: Eukaryota; Metazoa; Chordata; Mammalia; Primates; Hominidae.